Molecule: non-coding RNA, 249 nt
Organism: Vicia faba (fava bean)
Lineage: Eukaryota; Viridiplantae; Streptophyta; Magnoliopsida; Fabales; Fabaceae
Source: the annotation of a GenBank genome assembly
AUGAAAGGGAGGAGCUGGGAAUCGAGGUAUUUUCGAACAAGAACUUCGCUUUCUUGCGAACCCAGCUAUGGCAUCGUGAAUAAUAACAAAAGACUCCGUGGAAAUUUUGCACAGGUAUCAAUGAUUGAAUGUUAUUGCAGAGAGAUUGAAGGAGGCUGGAUGGCAAGGUCUUUUGGCACCUUUUGCAGGGCUGGAAAUUGGCUUCUUGUAGCAGGUUCGGCAGGGCACAUUGCAGGUUUUUUCCAGUGA